ACGGGGUGCAGCAGGCGCGAAAACUCCGCAAUACGCGAAGGCGUGACGGGGCUAUCCCGAGUGCCGUCCGCUGAGGAUGGCUUUUCCCCAGUGUAGAUAGCUGGGGGAAUAGGGAGAGGGCAAGUCUGGUGUCAGCCGCCGCGGUAAUACCAGCUCUCCGAGUGGUGGGGACGUUUAUUGGGCCCGAAGCGUCCGUAGCCAGCUGAGCAAGUCCCCAGUUAAAUCCAGCGAUUUAAUCGUUGGACUGCUGGGGAUACUGUCCGGCUAGGGGGUGGGAGAGGCCGACGGUAUUCCCGGGGUAGGGGUGAAAUCCUAUAAUCCCGGGAGGACCACCAGUGGCGAAGGCUGUUGGCUAGAACAUGCCCGACGGUGAGGGAUGAAAGCUGGGGGAGCGAACCGGAUUAGAUACCCGGGUAGUCCCAGCUGUAAACGAUGCAGGCUAGGUGUUAGGGCGGCCACGUGCCGCUCUAGUGCCGCAGGGAAGCUGUUAAGCCUGCCGCCUGGGGAGUACGGCCGCAAGGCUGAAACUUAAAGGAAUUGGCGGGGGAGCAC
RNAcentral lists this ribosomal RNA (552 nucleotides) under uncultured archaeon. RNAcentral's name for it is "bacterial SSU rRNA". It matches the Rfam family "Archaeal small subunit ribosomal RNA", at positions 325 to 879 of the family's 1478-position model. The record is from RNAcentral.